UCCCUACGCCACCUCACUUCUUCUGCGCCCAUUUGAAUUCACGAGAAGCAACUUCUCAUAAAUUUUCUCCCAUGCAGAAGGCAUCCCACGCCCACCCUUGUGCACCAAUUAUUUGGAUAAACAUGAUUUGUUAGCCAUUCAAAUUCAAAGGGUGUUUGAAUUUAAAUGAAUAACUAAUCCCAUGCACCAUGUCCUUAUCCAUUUUGUGCACCCCUUAUUUUACACGAGAAAAGUUUCUUGUGUAAACUCUCCACAC
RNAcentral lists this long non-coding RNA (256 nucleotides) under Elaeis guineensis (African oil palm). RNAcentral describes it as "long non-coding RNA (EGUI_LNC046388)". Lineage: Eukaryota; Viridiplantae; Streptophyta; Magnoliopsida; Arecales; Arecaceae. The record is from RNAcentral.